CUGUGAUUAUGCCACUGCACUCCACCCCAGGCAACGGAGUGGGACCCUGUCUCCAAAACAAAACACAAAAAACCCCACACGGGUCACUCUUCACUGUUUUACUUACAAGUGGACGAAGGGCAUAAACAAUUAAACAUAAUGAAACUGACCCAUAAACAUAUGUAAAAAUACUCAACUACACUAAUAAUCGAAAAGUAUAAUUAAAACAAUGAAACGGUCAAGCGUCUACUUAAUUGCAAAGGUAUUUUCAAAUGGCAAUGCCCAGGGCUGGCAGCCGAGCCAGGAAAAAGCCUCCCUCAGACCCCACGAGCGGGCACAUAAAAUGGGACAAACUUCCCAAACAGCAAUUUUGCAAAACGUGCCAAUUCCCCUAAAGGUUAUUUAUUAUUUAUCCAGUUAUUUCUAUCACUUCCAGAAACCAUACUGAGAAAAUAACCAGAAAUCUGAACAAAGAUUUAUACACUGUCUCAUCAUAACAUGAGUUAUAAUAUUAAAAAAUCAGAAGCAACCUAAAUGUCUAAUAGCACAAAAGUGGUUAAAUUAUUGGUAAUUCCCAAUAAUGAAAUAUAUGCAUGUAUUUCCAAAGAGUCUCCUGAAAAAGGAGAUGAGAUCAGGAAACAUGCCUGACCGUGAGGAAGCCAUGAUUGCACAUAGUAUUUGGCCCUUUCUUUUCUAAGUAGUUGUAAGUCAAUUAUUUUAAAAUUCUAGUUCUCUUUCUAAAUACAGAAGCAAAGCAGCCCAUGAUAGAUGCCGUGCUGAGGCUCCUCUCCCUAGGCAGCACUGCAUCAGGAAUAAUCCCACACUCAGCAUCCUUGGAAUGAGAAGUAUAAAGAGGAGGAGAAGUUCAUCUCAGAACUUCAAAAAGACCUGCGCUGAAAUCCUCGACUCUACUGCGCUAUGCAGGAGGAGUCUUAGACCCACUUGAUUGAUGAAAACACUCAGACUCAGACCAGGAGCAGACAGGUAGAGAGCCGUGGAACCAGCUUGGAGAAAGCAAUUCCACCCCUAGGAAUCAACACCAGAGACAUAUUAGAUACAUGUUCCCAAAAAGACAUGCGAGCUGUGGUCCCAGCACUUUGGGAGGCCGAGGCGGGCAGAUCACAAGGUCAGGAGAUUGAGACCAUCCUUGCUAAC
RNAcentral lists this long non-coding RNA (1134 nucleotides) under Homo sapiens (human). RNAcentral describes it as "HSALNT0392079". The record is from RNAcentral. Lineage: Eukaryota; Metazoa; Chordata; Mammalia; Primates; Hominidae.